RNAcentral lists this transfer RNA (63 nucleotides) under marine eukaryotic metagenome. It matches the Rfam family "tRNA", at positions 6 to 65 of the family's 71-position model. From Rfam's summary of the family: Transfer RNA (tRNA) molecules are approximately 80 nucleotides in length. The record is from RNAcentral.
CUUAGCUCAGUUGGUAGAGCUACUGAUUUGUAAUCAGUAGGUCGACGGUUCGAGUCCGUCAGG